Molecule: small nucleolar RNA, 109 nt
Organism: Pongo abelii (Sumatran orangutan)
Lineage: Eukaryota; Metazoa; Chordata; Mammalia; Primates; Hominidae
Source: Ensembl
AUCCUUUCGUAGUUCAUGAGCAUGACGAUUGGCUGUUCACACAAAUAUGUGAAAUGUGCCAGCCUCAAACCUUCUUGUGACAUCAGAUCAGCACAUGACUCUGCUGGGA